AUUGAACGCUGGCGGCAGGCCUAACACAUGCAAGUCGAGCGGUAACAGGGGAAGCUUGCUUCUCGCUGACGAGCGGCGGACGGGUGAGUAAUGUAUGGGGAUCUGCCCGAUAGAGGGGGAUAACUACUGGAAACGGUAGCUAAUACCGCAUAAUCUCUCAGGAGCAAAGCAGGGGAACUUCGGUCCUUGCGCUAUCGGAUGAACCCAUAUGGGAUUAGCUAGUAGGUGAGGUAAUGGCUCACCUAGGCGACGGUCCCUAGCUGGUCUGAGAGGAUCUUCACGCACAAGGGGACUGAGACACGGCCCAGACUCCGACGGGAGGCAGCAGUGGGGAAUAUUGCACAAUGCGCGCAAGCCUGCUGCAGCCAUGCCGCGUGUAUGAAGAAGGCCCUAGGGUUGUAAAGUACUUUCAGUCGGGAGGAAGGCGUUGAUGCUAAUAUCAUCAACGAUUGACGUUACCGACAGAAGAAGCACCGGCUAACUCCGUGCCAGCAGCCGCGGUAA
This 504-nucleotide ribosomal RNA is filed under the name uncultured bacterium. RNAcentral's name for it is "partial 16S ribosomal RNA". It matches the Rfam family "Bacterial small subunit ribosomal RNA", at positions 30 to 523 of the family's 1533-position model. The record is from RNAcentral.